CAAGAAAUAGUUUAAUUAGAAUAUCAGUUUUGGGUACUGGUGGUGUGGCUGUUUGCUUCUUUCUUGA
RNAcentral lists this transfer RNA (67 nucleotides) under Proechimys simonsi (Simon's spiny rat). RNAcentral's name for it is "tRNA-Pro". The record is from RNAcentral. Lineage: Eukaryota; Metazoa; Chordata; Mammalia; Rodentia; Echimyidae. RNAcentral also lists the same sequence under 3 other names.